GAAAUGCGAUAAGUAAUGUGAAUUGCAGAAUUCAGUGAAUCAUCGAGUCUUUGAACGCAAAACAACCAUUUUUUCCAGGUUGACCUCGGAUCAGGUAGGGAUACCCGCUGAACUUAA
Molecule: unclassified non-coding RNA, 117 nt
Filed under: uncultured Ascomycota
Lineage: Eukaryota; Fungi; Ascomycota
Description: sequence contains ITS1
Rfam family: 5.8S ribosomal RNA (bases 1-99)
About the family: 5.8S ribosomal RNA (5.8S rRNA) is a component of the large subunit of the eukaryotic ribosome.
Source: RNAcentral